UGGGGAAUAUUGCGCAAUGGACGCAAGUCUGACGCAGCGACGCCGCGUGAGGGAUGAAGGUUUUCGGAUCGUAAACCUCUGUCAGGAGGGAAGAAAGCGCGUGGUGCCAAUCAGCCGCGUGUUGACGGUACCUCCAAAGGAAGCGCCGGCUAACUCCGUGCCAGCAGCCGCGGUAAUACGGAGGGCGCGAGCGUUAAUCGGAAUCACUGGGCGUAAAGGGCGCGUAGGCUGUUGUGUAAGCCAGAGGUGAAAGCCCGCAGCUCAACUGCGGAAUAGCCUUUGGGACUGCAUGACUUGAAUCCAGGAGAGGGCGGCGGAAUUCCAGGUGUAGGAGUGAAAUCCGUAGAUAUCUGGAGGAACACCAGCGGCGAAGGCGGCCGCCUGGCCUGGCAUUGACGCUGAGGCGCGAAAGCGUGGGGAGCAAACAGG
Molecule: ribosomal RNA, 429 nt
Filed under: uncultured bacterium
Lineage: Bacteria
Description: bacterial SSU rRNA
Rfam family: Bacterial small subunit ribosomal RNA
Source: RNAcentral